GGGACAUCGCUGUGGCCAGCAAUUAGCUUAGCGCAGUGUGACGUGUCUGCUGCAAGAAUGCGGAAGAAGACAGGGCUGGAGGAUGGCAGAUUGAUUCCAGAGGCACCGGAGGAGUAGUAGGAGGUCUCGUAUUCUCUGAAAUCAAAGAAAAAAUCGGAAUGAAGUGGAGCUAUAAAUAGUAUACGCACCCUUUGAAGACUUGACCUCAAAUCCACUUUACUGGUUUUUCAUUGAGCAGAUAUGGAAGGAAACCAUGUUGGGAAAAAAAACAUACUGAUCCAAAAGGAGGUUGGAAAAAGGGGAAUGCACAAAGACUAUAAUGGAUGAGAAUGCGCUGACCUAGUGAGGAGAUGUCUGGGCGCCACAUUCUACAGACAGAAGUUUUAGCUGGAACAAGUCCUGGCGACUUGGGAGCCUGGCCAUGAAAGAAUUAUCACCCACCGGUCCUCCAGGACACAGUGACUGCGGAUGCAGUGACCCGGUAUGCUGGUGAUUCCUUUCCUGAUAACCUGUAAUUCAUUGGAUGUUCACAGUCCAGUUCCCAUUAGUGCUAAUAAA
Long non-coding RNA from Hyla sarda, 558 nucleotides. RefSeq lists it as uncharacterized. The record is from RefSeq and is a predicted model, not a curated record. Lineage: Eukaryota; Metazoa; Chordata; Amphibia; Anura; Hylidae. The transcript is spliced from 5 exons.